RNAcentral lists this long non-coding RNA (799 nucleotides) under Canis lupus familiaris (dog). Its description in RNAcentral is "lncRNA (ENSCAFG00845017534.1)". Lineage: Eukaryota; Metazoa; Chordata; Mammalia; Carnivora; Canidae. The record is from RNAcentral.
CGCCUCACCUGGCAGCAGGGACUUUGUCUCCUUCACCCCUACAGCCGACACCCCUAAACCCGACUGCUCAGGCAGUCACCCCCCAAAGGAAGGAAAGAAACCUAAGUCCCUUGGAGAACUCGAGGCACUGAUAGGGAGGAUCCCUCCGGCAGGAGACACAAGAGCAGCAUCCCCUCGGUGGACGAGCCAUCACCACAAACCACCUUUCGGGUUUUUGGAGAGAAGGCUGUAUUGGCUGGAGCCAAAACAAAACAAAGAACUCUAUCCACUCCACCUCGGCCCCCGAAAUUGAAUGGCACUUGGCAGUGGUAAAGGAGCACGGUAGAUAUUAAAUCACCCACACUCAGUUGGAUUGGCCACAGGAUUUGAGGGAAGCCAUUAAAGAAUUAGUUGAAAUGGUUUAGCCAUUUCAUCCCUUGUGUUUAGCCUGCACUCACGUCUAUCCUUCCUUUUAUCUUUCCUUUUCACCUGCUCAGCCCUCAGCCACCAGUGGUGCUGCAACCCACGACCCCCAAGGAAGCCCACCCGGGGGUGGAUGCACACAACACAUGAGCAGAGAACACAGAGGCUUCAGGCCUUUGUCUCCUCUCACCCCGGAACCUGGGGUCAGUCAGAAGGGAAGGAUCCAGAACAUGUGGGGUAGGGGGUGGUGGAGAACCUGCAGAUCCUCAUGAGAGGAGACCAAGGAAGAUGGGAGAGUUGAGAGAAAGGGAAAGUAGAGGAGAACAGGGUCGGGAGUGGGCGGUGGAAAAACUAGAAGGGAGAUGAGGAUGGAAUUAGCUGAAAGGGAAGGGAAGGC